Molecule: ribosomal RNA, 253 nt
Filed under: uncultured bacterium
Lineage: Bacteria
Description: partial 16S ribosomal RNA
Rfam family: Bacterial small subunit ribosomal RNA
Source: RNAcentral
UACGUAGGGUGCGAGCGUUGUCCGGAAUUACUGGGCGUAAAGAGCUCGUAGGUGGUUUGUCGCGUUGUUCGUGAAAUCUCACGGCUUAACUGUGAGCGUGCGGGCGAUACGGGCAGACUAGAGUACUGCAGGGGAGACUGGAAUUCCUGGUGUAGCGGUGGAAUGCGCAGAUAUCAGGAGGAACACCAGUGGCGAAGGCGGGUCUCUGGGCAGUAAUUGACGCUGAGGAGCGAAAGCGUGGGGAGCGAACAGG